AGAGUUUGAUCAUGGCUCAGGAUGAACGCUAGCUACAGGCUUAACACAUGCAAGUCGAGGGGCAGCAUGUUGGUUGCUUGCAACCAACGAUGGCGACCGGCGCACGGGUGAGUAACGCGUAUCCAACCUACCCUUGUCCAUCGGAUAACCCGUCGAAAGGCGGCCUAACACGAUAUGCGGUUCACAGCAGGCAUCUAACGUGAACGAAAUGUGAAGGAGAAGGAUGGGGAUGCGUCUGAUUAGCUUGUUGGCGGGGUAACGGCCACCGAAGGCUACGAAUCAGUAGGGGUUCUGAGAGGAAGGUCCCCCACAUUGGAACUGAGACACGGUCCAAACUCCUACGGGAGGCA
This 350-nucleotide ribosomal RNA is filed under the name uncultured bacterium. Its description in RNAcentral is "bacterial SSU rRNA". It matches the Rfam family "Bacterial small subunit ribosomal RNA", at positions 8 to 350 of the family's 1533-position model. The record is from RNAcentral.